This 253-nucleotide ribosomal RNA is filed under the name uncultured bacterium. RNAcentral's name for it is "partial 16S ribosomal RNA". It matches the Rfam family "Bacterial small subunit ribosomal RNA", at positions 524 to 776 of the family's 1533-position model. The record is from RNAcentral.
UACAGAGGUGGCAAGCGUUGUUCGGAAUUACUGGGCGUAAAGCGUGCGCAGGCGGCUAUGCAAGACAGAUGUGAAAUCCCCGGGCUCAACCUGGGAACUGCAUUUGUGACUGCAUGGCUAGAGUACGGCAGAGGGGGAUGGAAUUCCGCGUGUAGCAGUGAAAUGCGUAGAUAUGCGGAGGAACACCGAUGGCGAAGGCAAUCCCCUGGGCCUGUACUGACGCUCAUGCACGAAAGCGUGGGGAGCAAACAGG